AGAGUUUGAUCCUGGCUCAGGAUGAACGCUAGCUACAGGCUUAACACAUGCAAGUCGAGGGGAAACGACAUCGAAAGCUUGCUUUUGAUGGUCGUCGACCGGCGCACGGGUGAGUAACGCGUAUCCAACCUGCCCAUCACUUGGGGAUAACCUUGCGAAAGUAAGACUAAUACCCAAUGAUAUCUCUAGAAGACAUCUGAAAGAGAUUAAUGAUUUAUCGGUGAUGGAUGGGGAUGCGUCUGAUUAGGUAGUUGGUGAGGUAACGGCCCACCAAGCCGACGAUCAGUAGCCGGUCUGAGAGGAUGAACGGCCACCACUGGAACUGAGACACGGUCCAGACUCCUACGGGAGGCAGCA
RNAcentral lists this ribosomal RNA (357 nucleotides) under uncultured bacterium. Its description in RNAcentral is "bacterial SSU rRNA". It matches the Rfam family "Bacterial small subunit ribosomal RNA", at positions 8 to 353 of the family's 1533-position model. The record is from RNAcentral.